RNAcentral lists this unclassified non-coding RNA (316 nucleotides) under uncultured fungus. Its description in RNAcentral is "partial contains small subunit ribosomal RNA, internal transcribed spacer 1, and 5.8S ribosomal RNA". The stretch from base 1 to 73 matches the Rfam family "Eukaryotic small subunit ribosomal RNA", at positions 1759 to 1831 of the family's 1831-position model. Lineage: Eukaryota; Fungi. The record is from RNAcentral.
UCAAACUUGGUCAUUUAGAGGAAGUAAAAGUCGUAACAAGGUUUCCGUAGGUGAACCUGCGGAAGGAUCAUUAACGAGUUUGAAACGGGUUGUAGCUGGCCUUCCGAGGCAUGUGCACGCCCUGCUCAUCCACUCUACACCUGUGCACUUACUGUAGGCUUUCGGGAUGCUGUGGCGGGCUUUUGCUUGCUUAGCUUCCGGUCCCUACGUCUAUUAUAAACGCUUUAGUAACAGAACGUGUAUUGCGAUGUUAACGCAUUUAUAUACAACUUUCAGCAACGGAUCUCUUGGCUCUCGCAUCGAUGAAGAACGCAGC